GGCCCACAUGUCGGGAUUACAUAGAGAUAUCAACGAACCGCGUGAUUUUACAUCAUCUAGAAGACUCCAGAAGCCACGAGACCGAAGCGGAGGCGAAACGGGGCUAGGCCCAGGGCGCCCGCCCUGGAGGCCUGGGCGCCCGCCCCCUGCUGGAGCCAGAUCAGGACUCUCUUCGCUCGGGAUAUUCCACCGACCUAUUGGAUCAAUAAAAACAUAGUACCACCUCGCUUAUCGACCCAAAAACGCAUAGAAGGGGAGGACUAUAUAAGCAAGGCCCCCCUGGCCCCUAGAGAAGACAUGAAGAAAUUAUCAUAGAGACUGAGGGGUGCCCUCGAAGGAAAACCUCUUCUCUAAUUAAUAUUUCUUUUUAGGCUUAGCAACCAAUGUAAGGUAGAAAUAGAUCUUCUAGUUUCUACUAGAUUGAGAGAGAUAGAGUGGAGGUGUAGAUUGGAGGAAGCCCGGCCUGUCGGUGUCUACUCCAAGCUUGUACCUGCGGGAUCAAGUUCUCCUAACCCGAAGCUUGCUCCUAGGAUUCUUCAGUAAUUCGACUUCUAAAUUCUAGUAAGUUCUUGUUUUAUUGUUCUUAUGGUUUAUGAGUUUACUUUAAUCUCUUCGCGUAGAGUUUAGAGUAAUCAUUGCUGGCGUAAACGUGGUGUUUAGGCUGGGGUACUCAUAGAUAUUCCCUGACUAGCUGGACCGUGGUACUAGUGAGGAACGUGACAAUUCCGAACUACCUUUGUAGAUCACAUCUCGUUAGCAGGAAGGAUAGGGUUUAUAGGUGCGGGUUGAACAUCCUUUGUGGUGUCUAGAUUCCGUUAGCCUCCCCAUUAGAACAGUAGAUCAUCCUUACCAAGGUUAGAAGGAGACUACGGUUGCAGUCUUCUCUAUUUAUCACUCACAUCGAAAGACAUUCUUUGUGCCUAAAGGUUAGUAGUAAUAGACCGGUUAGUCAGAUGCACUCUUUCUCCUAGUGGUAAAAAAAUAAAUACGAUACUCUGGAUAACCUCCCGGGUGAAGUGCUCACCGAUAUCCGUGCGCUUGCGGAUCAAUUCCUUAUUGCGUUCCCAAAUAUCAACAAGCAUUUCUGGCGCCGUUGCCGGGGAGAAAGACGGUUGCUGAGAUAACCUGAGUCUUGCUACUAGCUUGUAUCUAUACUUUUAUCUUUUCUUAUCUUUUAUAUUCUUAAUUUAUUUUCUUUACUCUUACCUUAUGGAAAACCAAAAUUCUAAAUCGAUCCAUGAGUCUGCAAUCCCUUUAGCAACUGACCUUUUACCAUGGGAAUCAUCACAGCCUAUCCAAACAUCCCAGUAUAAGUUAAGUUCUAGGUUGAUUGCCAUGAUUCAAAACGUAUCUUUUUCGGGAAAGGAAGACAAAAACCCUUACCUUCAUAUUAGAGAUUUUGAGCAAACAUGUGAUUGUCUUCGCAUUGAAGGCAUUUCUGAUAAAACUUUAUGUUGGAAGGUUUUUCCUAUUUCCUUAAGGGGAGAAGCUAGACAAUGGUACAGUCAGAAGGUAAGUCAACAACAAGGUGAAUGGGGAGUUUUACGAGCCAACUUUUGUCUAGAUUUCUAUUCCCUUGACCGUAUAGCCGACCUUAGACUCGAAGUCCUAUCUUUUAAACAAAAAGAUAAUGAAACUUUGGGAAAAUCCAGGAAAUGUUUUUCUAAUCUUUUAGAAUCUGGUCCAAACCUUAAUCUUGAAGACCCUGUUCUUUUAUUUCACUUUUUUCGAGGUCUUCAGAAAAAUCACAAACAAAUGCUACACACAAUGUCUAGAGGUUAUUUCUUUCGCAUCCCUGCUGAUGAAGCUAGAGUGAUCCUAGAUAGAAUCCUAGAAGCUGAGAUGGAUAAUACCCUUCAUGAUGAAACCUACGAAGCCGAAGUAGACACUCUACCAAAUUCUUCAUCUACUUUAGCUAUCCCAAGUUCUGAGCCACAAGAGGAAUAAAUUCCACCACCGGACUUCAUGCUGGAUAUAGAAUCUGAUCUUUUUGCCAAUUUUGGAAAUAUUUCAAACUACCAUUCUAUUGACAAACCCCAAAACGGCCAGUUUAACAUUUAUUUGCCAAGUGAAUAUCAAUUGAGAGAGCUUAUCUCAGUAAUGAGUAGCGAAUGGUUGGCGGAAUCAGAGCUUUCCUCUGAUGUGAUCCGUUUGGACACACCCUCUAUAACUAUACGCUGUGCUUAUAAUUCUGAUCGAUUUAAUGCUCUCUAUAAUCCUGUUGUGGGGAUCAACAUCAUGUCUGAAUCCUUUGCACUUAAACUAUUUAAAAAUCUUGUCUUAACCCCCACAAUAAAGGUCAUAAAGGAAUCUUCGGGACGAUUAGUCCCCAGUCUUGGAAUUAUUAAUGUCCUACCUCUUACGGUAGAAGGCUCCAUGGUUCAUUUGAACUUCUAUAUCUUUGAUACAUGGGACUUCGACCUGCUAAUAGGACAACCUUUUAGAAGACUCCUUUAUGAAGGUCAUACUGGAAAGCUACACAUUUCUUUUGGCAAAACUUUUAAAUUCCCAAUAAUAAUUUCACACUCCUUAAACAAUAAGGCCGAGUCAUAUCUUUUGCCUGAUCCUAUGGAGGAAGUAAAGGCUGCAUCUCUAGAGCUUUUAGAUGAACCAGACUUAGGAGACGAAACUCCUUUCUUCACAGAAGAAGAAGACGAACCUUCUGAGCCUGAACCCUUAGAUGAGUUUGCAGAAACACCUAGACCCCCCAUAGAGCUUAAAACUUUACCACCCGGUCUUACAUAUGCUUUCCUAAACAAUAAUCCAGAGUUCCCUGUGAUCAUUAGCGAUAAACUCACUCGGGAUCAAACUCUGCGAUUAAUGACCAUUCUUGAGAAACAUCGCUCAGUAUUCGGCUACUCACUUCAAAAUCUUACAGGAAUCAGUCCUAUGAUUUGUACCCAUCGUAUUCCAACAGAUCCUUCUGUUUCACCCUCUCGAGAACCCCAACGUAGACUUAACAACACUAUGAGAGAGGUAGUUAAAAAGGAAGUUAUAAAGUUGCUGCAUGCAGGGAUUAUAUAUCCUGUGCCGCACAGUGAGUGGGUGAGCCCAGUGCAAGUUGUGCCUAAAUUAAGCGUGGUGCUUAGGUUAAAUAGCCUUCCUUAAUCUGAUUAGACAUGGAGUCUAGUUUGGUUACUGAACUAAAAACUGCUUGAGUAGACAUUGGUAUAUUUUGUCAGACUAACCCCUGCAGGAAAACUUUCAAUAUCAACCUGGGAAGUCCUGAGAUAUAAACUCACAUCAGAUAUAAAGAGAGAGACACAUGAAGUUUAACAAUUUGCACAAGAAAGACAUAGCUCAUUCAUCAUAGAGAGAUGAUCCAUGGAAGGAGACAAAGUACAUAAACAAGAUACACAACCAUUAUGAAUGGGAAGUUUCCACAAGGUGAGAUGGUACCAUCACUGUUCAAUUAAGGUAACAUCUUAAGAUAUGUGACUAUCACUUUUAUAAGCUUCUCCUUGGUUCCGGCGUUCACAUAAAUAAAGAGACAAACAUGUAUGAUUUAUAACUCCAAAUUAACCAACCCAACUGAUUCAGCAUGUUUAGUCAUUUAAUCUUUGUUCCUAAUACUACCUUUGUGAUCUCACACUCCUAAUCAUAUAAGCUAAAAUGUUGCACAUUCAAUCUUUAGAAGAUAUAAAAAAACAUAAAUAUAGAUAGAUUAUCUUUCCAUUAGGUUGAGCGAUCUGAUCUGACAAAUGUUUUAAAUGCUACACUCAUGAUCUUAUUACCUAUCAACUUUGUCUUGCUCACUAUGCUUGAGGUUAGAGAAGAACAAAUACACUUUUGGUUCUAUUGGUGUUUUUCACCAACAGGGCCCAUGCACUUGAUCUCUGCCAUGUCUCUAUGAGUAGGUACACUUCGAGAAAAAACCUGAAGGAGUUUUACAACUCUCAGAUUCCACCAAGUGAAGGACUUGGAUCUACGAGCACAAACACACUGAGUAGGAUGCUGCCAAUGCCGCACCUCGAACUACUGGACAAACGAAGAACAUGGGUGACACCGUAUCAAGAGGUGCAGAUGUCAAGGCCCACACCUAAUCAAACGAUGCACCUAAAGGAUGAACACAGUGAGAAGUCUUGUCCAGAAGACUUAAAAAAUUGGAUCCUUGCCAGAAGGUAAAAUCGGUAUUUAUCCAUAUUUAUUUUUUCUACAUUCCUUUUCCUUUUUUAUUCCAUCACUUGCAUUAGCAUAUUUACUUUUCCACAUAGCAUUAGAAAAGAAAACAAAAAUAUUUAUUUGUUGCACAACAUCAUAAAAUCUAAAGCCCCAUGUGAGUAGACUUGUGGUUUAAAACCCAUAGGUAUAUUGACUAUGGUGGCAUAAAAUAAAUAUGUUUUCAUCUUACAAUAAAAAUAUAAAAAUAAUAAGUGUAUGAUCCUGCUAAAUAAAAUUUAUUAUGAGGAAUCUCCAUAUGAUAAAGGCUAAGAGAUUUUAUGCUAACACUUAACCAGUUCCACAAAAUCUAGCUUUUGGGAGAGCACCCCCAUCUAUCCAGCUAAGUGUUUCUACUUGCGUUUAUACUUUACUCAAAUAAUAAAAAAAUGCAUAAUCAUGAAAACCCAAAUAAAAAUUUUGUGCUUAUAUAUAUCUUUGCUUAGUUUGCUAAAUAAAUAAAUAAAGUGUCUAGGCCAAACUGAACAGAAAUGAUAAACUCUUACAUGGAUAUGAUAAAUAGUUGCUCUGCAAUGUACCUAAUUUUCAAGUUUGAGCUCUCUCUCAAGUUUAGGCAUAACUGUAAUAAUUUAAACAUGGUCUAAACCUGAACUUGUGGGAAGAGUACUUGAUCUAAAGUCUUAGUCGUUAACGGAAAUGAUAUGGAAAGGUUGAGCUGCUGUUUAUCUGAUCCUAGAGAUGCUAAAAUUCUGGAGAAUUUUAUCUUUGAAAAUCUUUAAAAUAACGCAUGAUGAGUUCCUGUAUGAUGAUUGUUUAAAUUCCUACCACAGCCAUAUAUAUAUGCUUGCUAGACUUUGAGCCACACAUUUACUUUUUACUGCUUAUGAGCAUUGAGUGUGGUCAAGCUGUGUAGACCCUUAGGAGCUUGUCAUGCGGUUAAAAGUCAAGAUUCACUUGCACGUUCACUCACACAUGCUGCUUCUACUUUGGAAGUACGCAUCCAUAUAUAUCCACUCAUUUCCAUCUCCAGAGCCACCAAAAAGUAUUGUACUCCAAAUCCGGAAGAGAAUAGCCAAAAACAUUCUCCUAUUUCUGUUUUUUUCUGUGAAAUAAAUGCUCGAGUUAUCUUUGUUACUACCACUUGCUAUAUUAUUUCGGGAGAUGAGUGCUCUAAAAAAAAGAGAGAAAGAAUACGAGGAAAUAAAAAGGGGCAAGUGCCCGGAACCUCGAAGAAAAGAAAAAGUGAGACGAGAGGUAAAAAUGCACAAUUGUCCGACAGUAGAAUUAGGGGUACCAAGAUACCCACCUGAGAGGAAAGAAAAAGAAAAUGUAGAGCAUCUCAUUCUCCUAAAAACCUUCAAAGUGCAAGAAAGGUAUGUAUCCCCAUAAAAGAGCAAAAGUAGAAUUAGUCUUUCACCAUUGUUAUCACCAUCAUCACCAUACACCAUUCACUCGCCACACAUGCACAUCUUGAUUUGACUUAUUGACUAGUUCUUCUGGAUCCAUGGUUUGACUAUACAAUAAAUGUCUUGUAAGUAUGUAUUAUCUAUCUCCCACCUAUGAGCUCCAGAUAUUAAAAUCUUAUUAGAGUAGGGUGAGAGACAAGGCAAUAUUACUAUGCCUCAUACAAAAAAUACCACAUACGUUGAGAGAAGGCAUAUACCAUUACUGCCUUGGAAAGGAUCCAGAAAUACCACAAAAAAGAGAUUUGAGAGAGAGUCAUACAAGGAAUCUCUGAGUUUUAUUUGAAUAUCUUUAAAAACUCCAGAGCUAUAGUUAAUCAAAGAACAAGAGACAUGGCGCUUGACUAGACUGUUCUAUCUUUUAACUGCUCAAGACACAAGUGACGGUUGCAAGCCCCAUGGUAAAAGGUAAAAUGAGUAAGUUUUAAAUCUUAACAGUUUACUUUAACUGAGAGAUGAGAUCUUGCUUGAACGCAUGUGUACUUUUAAGGCAUGAAACCACUGUAGAAACUCUUGAGUCCAUCCUUGCUGACGGACGAGGAAGUGGUAAGCUUGGGCGAGUUGUUGACGGUCCUUAAGUACCAAAUAUAAUCAUCAAAUAAAUAAAGAAAAGGAUCCAAAUGCAACCAACACCCAGACUUAGGGUUUUAUCUAACAGAAUUCCACGAGUUGGGACCUAUGGCUUCACCUCUACUGGGGCUACUUGGGGGUGAUGCCGCAUUGGGACCUAUGGCUUCACCUCUACUGGGGCGAGCUGUUUUGCGCUCCCGGCGGGGCCGCCAGGGUGAGGAAGCCGGUGCGGGCCGGCUGCCUCAACCUAGUUUAAAAGACUGGACACAUAGAGGAGCCUCAAGAAUAUGUCCUCACUGUGCUAAUGUCAAAUCAUGCCCAGUGGGAUUCUCAGUGGUUCUACCUGCGCAUCGAUGAUGGGCUCUUCCCCAACUACACCGAGCGGCUGAUCAAGGAGCGCCCCGACAACUAGAACUAUGGUGUCAUCAAGACACACUAGGCAUGGCUCCGUCUCGUUCUCGAUGCUCUGAAUUGUCUGCGCAAGGAAGGUUUGACCGCCGCCCUCAUCCUCUCCGCAAUCAACUAUCGACGGGUACUUCCGUUGAUGUCUCGACCGCUGAGGAUGCACGAGAUGGGUCCCUGCGCUCUGUCGCGGGAUCUCGAGGUGUGCCGCAUGUCAAACGAAGCGCUCCUAGAUGAGGAGGUGGCUACCAGGGUUAGGGUGGCUGUGUAAGAGAACCGCCCAAAUUAUAAGAGAUUAAGCCUAAUGGUGACCAUUUGCACAGUCAAACCAUCGAGCUUAAGCCCAUAUAAUCCCGGUAGUCCGUGAAAUCUCGAAGGAUUUCAAACCACAUAUCGUACAUACAGCCAAGAUCAUAAUAAGUUCAGCGGUCACCAUUCACAAUUACAUCUAGUUCGCAUCAUUCAUCAAAUACAUUGGAGUACUUAAAGUUAUUACAAACCAAGUUCUCAAGUAGCGGAAGCUUCAUAGUUUGAAAGUAACACACACACAUUUAGUUUGAUACAGUGCCAUAAUCUGAUCAUUUCCACAAAAGCAAAAGAGAAGGAAGAGUGACCAUCACCCUUGGUCUAGUCAUCACCCAUAGCUGGGUACAAGCAGUGAAUGCAAUAACCAUAGUACAUCUGCCCAUCUGCAAAACAACAUGGGAAUAGAACCCUGAGUACGAGAAUGUACUCAGCUAGACUUACCCGUCAUAAACCAAAAAUAAAAGACUCUUCAAGGAUCAUGAAGGUUGUAUAGUGGGGUAGCUGAGACUUUUUGCGUAGAAGCACUACUCAACUAGAAGUACCUCCUAACACUACCCCCUUUUCUUUUUAUUAGCUCAGGUUAGGUAUUAAUACCUAUCAUCUAGAUUUGCACCUGUACUAAUUCAAGCUAGUGUAGUAAUAUGAUGGGACCUCAUCAUAGCAUUCAUAAAUCAUUUAUCAUCAAAACCUAAGUGUUCCAUAGUCCUUACUACGAGGACAGGGCUCAUGUCAAGUGCUCAAUAUCCAGGAGCGAUGGCGAUUCAAAUCGAUUUCUAACCAGCUGGCGAGUUUAUUCCCCACACAAACCACACUCACUGAUCAAGUGAGCUACAGAUCACCGUAUUGCACUAUCCAGGACCAAUUCGUGGGUUUGACAGGCACCGCCCAUACCCGAGGACUGUUCCGGUGACCGAGGUAUCCAAGGUAUACCAAGGUUGCGCGCCGCGCCCUCGUCGUUCUCCUCAACCAUCACCAAUACAGCGCGUACAUCGGGCCGAUUCUCGGCCCGGAUAGUGGUCAGGCUUCGCGGUCGGAACGACUUAUCCUUCCAGCUAAGUGUGGGGCAUGCGUUCAACAUGACAAGAGGGCCGUCAACGAUCGGUCCUUAAUCGACACAGUCAGGGGCACUAUGGUCAACUCCACCAAAAGACCUUGCCCGGUCUCAAAUUUAUUUCCACACUUGGUUACUUUUCCUCAAAGCAUUAUCAGCUAAACAAGCAGGUGAUAGGAAAUCACCCGACUUCUACCGUACUAAGCAAGCUAAGCAAUAGACUCCGAGCCUAUCUAUAUAGGACAAGGUAGAUAAACAAGUGGUGAUAUCAAGGAGUAUAUAUGCAUCAACGGUAUCAAGCAAUUCCUAUCACUUAAAUGCAAUAUAGUAGAACAAGCAUAAUAUAUCAUUAAGUUAGCAAGAAUAGGGAGACUUAGAAUGCUCCGGGGCUUGCCUUUCUCAAACGUGCUCGGCUUGUGGUCCGGGCACUCCUACAGCUCUUCUCCGGGCUCUGGUCCUCCCAAAAGUUCCUGCUCCUCGGGUCCCACCUCGUUCUCAUGCGAGCCUGUAUGAUGCAUGUGUGCUUAUGAGUGCAAUGCUUAUGCAAGUGGGUACCAGAUGAUCAUGACAUGGUGCAUAGAUGACAUAGGUGGUCAUUUCUACAAGGUAGUCAACAUCAUCCAAGAACAUGUAAUCAAUUUAAGCAUCUAUUGCAUUCUCUCUACAAGUUGCCUUCAUGGUUAACCAGCAAGCUGACAUGAUGCUUCAAAGAUACACCAAACACUCUUUCUUCCAUUUUAACUUAUGCAUAACAAUUCAUAAUUUCUCUUAACUAUUAUCGGACCCACAACAGUAGCAUAUAUUUCUGUUUAUCAAUAAAUUCCACAAAAAUUACAGUAGCUCACUGGUCAAACAUAAAGUCUAUCAUAAAUUUUUCAUAAUAUUUGGACACUUAUUUUAGGCUACAAAAAUUACAAGGUUAUCCAAUAUAAUUAAAUAUAAAUACCCUACAGUUGACCAAGUGUCAAACAACAGAUUUCAUAUUUCUAUAAAUUACUUGUUAACAUAAUAAACACCCACAAACAUUUCCAGAUUGAUUGCAUGAUCCAAUUAUUUAUUAAAAAUCAUAAACCACUGCCAUGCAAGCAUUUAAAUCACCAUAAAUCAAUUUAUACAGCAAAUAAUAUGUGACAUAUUUUUCCCAAAAGCUAAUCAUCCAUGCAGAGCCAACAAAAUAAGUUUCAUAUUUUUCUAAGUUAUAUUUUAAUUACUAUGCAUUUUCCAAUUUUCAGCAAAAACAUGGAUUAAAUAUAUUCGUACAAAAAAGUUGUUCAAACAUGACAUGCAACCACACCAACUGGAGAUCUAGGAUUAUAGAGCACAUCAAAAUUUAUUUCACAAAUUUUGGAGCCAUGGAUCUCAAUAUAUAGAUUUAAUACCAUUUAAACUAUUUUCUAGAAAUUAUUUUCUGAAAAACCAAUUCAAAUCCGGAACGAAAAACGCUAAAGACACCAAGAUCCCUACCCGCCUCGGUCCCCCCUGCGGGUGACAGUGGGUCCCCGACCCCACUGGUCAGCGUGACCGAGAGAGAGAGUACCUCCGACGAGCGGAUCUCGUUGGCGGUGAGGUCUCCGGCCACGGGGUGAGCACCAACGUGCUCCCUGCAGCGAGGUGCACCCGAGGGUGCCCUUGAUUCGGCCAGAAGAUGACCAGAGCACCCCCGCUGGCAUGCAUGGCGGCACGGCGGCGCUGCUCGCCGUGGCCAGACCGCUCCGGUGUAGAAGAGCGCGCGCGGGGUACCGUUUACGCUUCCUCGACUCUCUCCGAAUCUAACGCGCUAAAGAAUAGGCAAAACGGAGUAGAAACGGGGAAGUUCUGACGUGGCGGAGCUCUCCAAUGAGUUCGAGCUAACUCCGAUGAGAGAUUCAGGGUUUGCGAAGGGUUUUCACCUCGGUAGAGCGUGCGCAGGGGCUUACCGCGGCGAAGACGAGCUCGGCGGUGGUCUUGGCGCAGAGAAAGGGCUACUAACGCGGCCUGCGGUGAGCGGCGGAGCGCUGGCUGGCAAUGGCGCCGCGGUGGAGCUGCUGCUACCGCUGCUGUGCGAGCGAGCGGAGAAGAAGAAGAGAGAGAGCGGGAGGGGACAGAAUGGCGGCUCGGGGCGCGGGGUGCCGUCCCGACCGGGGUAAGCCGGUCGGCCAGCGGCGCGUCCACGACGCCGGCGUACGGCCGCCACGUGGCCGGCGCCGGGUGGAGCGAGGCGGGCAUCCGCGCACGGGAGAGAGGAGAGGGGAGGCCGGGCCGCACGGCUUGGCUGGGCCGAAAGGGAAGCGGGUCGGCCCAGCAACGCCUGUCCCUUUUCCUUUUUUUGAAUUUCUUUUCUCCACUAAUAAUUCCAACUUAUUUUUGACAAGUUUAAAUUCUUUUUCAGCUUUGGCCCCCAAAACAAAAGACGUUCUAAAUAAAAAGUUCUACAACUUUGUUUCAAGUUGUAACUCCAAAUUCCCAAUAGGAUUUGAAAUGCAACUCAAAACUAGUUCUAGGUUUGAAUAAAUUCAUUUUGGGGCUUUUUGUAUAAAAUCCAUUUCUCAAAUUCUAUAGCUCCAAAAAUUUCACAAAAUUAUUCUUAAUUCUUCUAAAACAUAUUUCAACCUAAUUUAGGCAUCACAAGGAUUUUUGGAACAAACAUAUUAUUCUCAUCACAUUUAAGUUACAUAAAUUAAGCACAUAAAAUCAUACUUGGAUGAAUGCUAUGCUUAUGUGAUGCUAUGCUUGAUGAGAAUGCUUAUGAAAGGGUUUAUGAGACUAAGUGCAUGCUUAACACCUAGGGUGUUACAGCCCUUCCCCUCUUAGGGAAAUCUCGUCCCGAGAUUUUAGGUUACUAACCAUUUCUUAUGAAAUAUUGGGUAAACUGCUUUUAGGUAAUCCUCGGUUUCCCAAGUGGCAUCUCCAUCAUCGUGAUGACUGCACACUACGUUGUAAGUCUUGAUAACUCUAUUCCAGGUUAUCCACUCCCUGGUAUCUACGAUACCCACCGGUUGUUCUUUAUACUCCAAGUCUGCCUUUAUCUUGAUUCCUCGAGGUUCGAUCCUUUGCUCAGGCACUCUCAAACAUUUUCGUAGCUGUGACACAUGGAACACUGGAAAGAUUGAGCUCAACUCCCCUGGUAACUGAAUCUUGUAGGCCACAGGGCCAUUCCUUUCUAGUAUGUGAUACGGUCCCACGUAUCUAGGUGUAAGCUUGCUUCGAACUCGGAAACGCUAAACUUUCUUCAUUGGCGUAACCUUGAGGUAAACAUAGUCACCUAUAUUGAACUCAAGUGGCCUUCUUCUCUUGUGGGCAUAAAUCUUCUGCCGUGAUUGUGCCGCUUUCAUAUGUUGUUGUAUGAUUUGCACCUUUUUCUCAGCCUCGUUCACGAAGUCGAUACCAUAGUAUCUCCUUUCACCAGGUUCGACCCAGUUUAACGGAGUUCUACACUUACGACCAUACAACGCUUCAAACGGAGCCAUCUUAAUACUUUAUUGAUAGCCAUAAUUGUACGAGAAUUUGGCUAAAGGUAACCAUGAUUCCCAUGAUCCCUUGGAUGAUAGCACACAAGCCCUCAUCUGUAUCUAGCUUCUUAUCAGACUAGUUCCAAAACUCUUAUGCAUUCGCUCUCGGAAAUGAGCAGUGAACUGCGGUCCUCUAUCUGAUAUGAUGGUCUUGGGAAUACCAUGCGACUUGACAAUCUCAGCUAGAUACAGAUCAGCAUACUCGGGAGGUCUGUAACGAGUCUUAACAGGAAUGAAAUGAGCCGACUUGGUCAAUCGAUCUAUGAUUACCCAAAUCGAGUCAUUCCCCUUUCGUGUAGUCGGCAGACCUAUGAUGAAGUCCAUACUGACCUCUUCCCACUUCCACUCUGGAACUGAUAACGGCUGCAACAGACCUGCAGGUUUCAUGUGUAUAGCCUUGACUCUGCAACACGUGUCACAACGAGCCACAUAUGCUGCUAUCUCUUUCUUGAUUUUGGUCCACCAAAAGUGAGACCUUAGAUCUUGGUACAUCUUACUACUGCCAGGAUGGAUAGAAAGUAACUCACAGAUGCGCUUCAUCCAUAAAGAGAUUCUUUAGUUCUCGAUUUUUUGGAACUACUAACCGGUGCUGAAACCACAAUACACCCUUCUCAUCAACUCGGAAUUGAGUCCUUGGAUCGUCUUUGAUCUUCUCUUUGAUGUGAAAAAUACCCUUGUCUGUUUUCUGACUUUCGAUAACUUGACUUUCAAGUGAACAGCUGAGCUGUAUGUGACAUAAGACUUCAGGAUGCAUGAGAUCGAAACAAUCCUCAAACAAAGGUUGAACUACUUGAUAGUGUGGUUUGCGACUUAAGGUGUCUGCUACCACAUUAGCCUUGCCUGGAUGAUACUGGACCUCCAGAUCGUAAUCCUUGAUCAGUUCUAACAAUCUUCGUUGCCUCAUAUUUAGCUUGGACUGACUGAAGAUGUACUUCAGUCUUUUAUGUUCUGUGUAGAUAUGACACUUGUUUCCUAGUAAUAGUGCGUCCAGAUCUUCAAAGCGUGCACUACUACUGCUAGCUCGAGGUUGUGAGUCGGGUAGUUGACUUCGUGCUUUCUUAACUGUCGUGAAGCGUAAGCUAUAACUCUGCCGUCUUGCAUCAGCACACAUCCUAACCCACUUUUCGAUGCGUCGCAAAACACAUCAAAAGGCUUCUCGAUAUUGGGUUGUGCUAGAACGGGAGCGGUGGUCAGCAACUUUCGCAAAGUGCGGAAGGCUAGUUCACACCCUUCCGUCCAGACAAACUUAUGAUCCUUUUGUAGUAAACUGGUCAUUGGCUUAGCAAUCUUGGAGAAGUCAGGUAUGAAACGACGGUAGUACCCGGCUAGGCCAAGAAAGCUUCGAACUUCCGAGACAGAAGUUGGUGCCUUGCAGUCCAUGACUUCCUGUAACUUUGACGGAUCCACAGAAUGUGCCCUAGGAAAGGAACUUUCUUCAGCCAGAACUUGCACUUGCUGAACUUUGCAUACAACUGAUGCUCUCACAGUCGUGUUAGCACGACUCUUAGAUGCUCGGCAUGAUCUUGCUCAUUCUCUGAAUAGAUCAGAAUGUCAUCGAUGAAUACCACAGCAAACUUGUCUAACUCUGGCAUAAAGACCAAGUUCAUCAGAUACAUAAAGUAUGCAGGAGCAUUUGUCAACCCAAAGGACAUGACAAGAUACUCAUACAACCCAUAUCUAGUAGAAAAAGAAGUCUUCGGUAUAUCUUGCUGACGGAUCUCGAUUUGGUGAUACCUGGACCUCAAAUCUAUCUUGGAAAACACUUUUGUGUUGGACAACUGAUCAAACAAGAUAUCAAUUUGCGGCAAAGGGUACUUAUUCUUGAUUGUCACCGCAUUGAGUGGACGAUAGUCCACGCACAUGCGCAGCGAUUGAUCCUUCUUUUUCACAAACAACGCUGGACAACCCCAUUCUGACAAACUUGGCCGGAUGAAUCCUUUAUCUAACAACUCCUUCAGUUGAUUCUUCAAUUCAGCGAGUUCAUUUGGCGGCCUAAAAAACAUCAGGGAACUCACAGACCACUGGUAUAUGUUCUAGUGGAACCACCUAUACUGCACACGAAAGACUGGCGAAGUCUAACCGCUGAGGUAGCUUGACCUGAAGCAUACCCUCCCCCUGCGGAUCCUUAAGGGAGAGAGUUCUAUGUCCAGCAUCUAUAACUGCACCCCAGUCAGUCAUUUUAUUCAUUCCAAUGAUAACAUCCAAAACCAGCCCUGGCAUCACCACAAGGUUUACGCGAAACCUUCGGCCACUGAUAUCUAAGGUAACCCCCGCUACUGCUUUGUUAGUCAACACAUCAGCCCCUGCUGAGCUGAUACGAUAACCAUAACCCAACUCGGUAACUGGUUGGUCAUGCUUUUGUGCAAAUGCUUGGCUCAUGAAUGAAUGUGAUGAUCCAAAAUCAAACAAAACAACUACAAGAUGUUGGUUGACAGGAAACAUACCAGCUGUUACCGGUUCUCCUUCCGGGAUCUCCUCUAUCGAGGUAUGGUGCACCCGAGCUGGGUAGGUUGCCUGCUGCUUCUUGGGGUAGGGACAUUCCUUAGCAAAGUGCCCAUCUUGUGGCAGUUAUAGCACGGUCCCUUGGUCAUGUUGUUGGCAGCAGGUGCCGUAGCUUGAAUUGCCUUUGGCUUGGUGGGAGCUAUCGCUACCUUGUACGGCUUCUGCUGCGUUGGAUGCCCUAUGUUCCUCCUCUGCGGCGGUCGGAACCUAGCACCUGGGGUAGGAGGACGAUACUGCUGUCGCCCUGCCACUGGUGCCCUGGACUGAGACGACCCGGCUUCAAAAGCCCUCUUGCGACACUAGGAUGCAAUAUAGUUGUUGUUCUUGUUCUCCUGGGUCAAACAGUCACUGAUGUAGGCAUUGAAGGGUCUUCAGCAUCUUUGGGCUCAAGCCUCUCUAGAAACUGGCGAUCUUCUUGGCCUCUAUGUUCACAAACUCGGGAGUGUAACGGGCGAGAUUGUUAAAAGCGUGCAUAUACACCUUCACAGACUUCGUUCCCUGGUACAGCCUCAUGAACUCUCCAACCUUCAUUUCCACCACACCCGGAGGAAUAUAAUUUCCCCGAAAGGCGGUGGUGAAGCGGUUCCAAGUGAUCGGGGUCCCCUCUGGGUAGGUGGUACGAUGAUGGGACCACCAAAUCCUAGCAGGUCCCUGCAACUGAUUUGCUGCAUACUCAACUUUGAGCUCUUCGGUCAUCCGGAGGAGACGGAACUUUUGCUCCAUGGUGUUAAUCCACUCAUCUGCCUCGAGUGGUUCCAAGGCCUCCUUGAAGACCGGUGGUUUGGUGUCCAUGAAGUCCUUGAAAGAGCUAUACUGAUUGACUUCACGACCGCCCUGGUUAUCUCCAUGGUGAGUGUUGUCAGCGAUAUUGCGUAGGGCUUCUUCCAUGUUGUGCUGCAUCUGCUCCAUGUUGUGUUGGCUCCCUAGAAACUGCGCGAAAAACACGUCCGCAGUGUAGGAGGAGGGGGUGAUGGCGGCGGUGAUGGUGCUCUCUCCUCAUUCCUUUGAGCCCCACCUCCGGAAGUACCUGCUCCAAGCCUAGGUUGCUGUUACCCCCGCCACGUGUUUGCACCAUCUGCAUGCGUCAAUGAUAAGCAGUCGUUAGGUGUUGCCAUCAACGGUAGACAUAUGUAGAAUUAUGCCGUACUGAAUUUACUGAGGAAAAUAAAUCCGCACAAUAAACAGAGGCAUAACAAUUUAUCAUCCACACACAACAUCACUAACGGAUUACUUAACAUUUGAGCAACAAGGUUCGCAUACAUCCAAAAUUGCCAGCAUACAUACACUGGACUUUCAGCGUUUAACACAGCUCACACAUAGAGUCUGACACAACAAUGAUCCAACAGAUUACAAGACAUGCCAUGCAACAACAACAUCAAAAGAAGAAGGACUAGCUCUAGAGCCCCUACCAUCUACUCGCUAUGGUCGCUGUCCAUGCCGGAGCCCUCCUCGUCUUCCUCUCCACUAGCGGCUGCCUCCAUCUCUGGGUCCUCAUCCAUCUCGUCCUCAGAGUCUAACUCAGCUGCUCCAGGCAGGUGGUGAGGGUGGAGCUGGUUAUGCAGCUGGUGGAUCUCCUCAUGCAGGUUCUCAUUGUACUCCUCAGCAUUAGCCAGCUGCUGCUCAAGCUCUAGCUGUCGGGCCCUUAGGGUGUCCUCCUCGUGCCAGGCUUCAUUCCUCUGAUCAAGCACAUGAACUAGCAUGCGCUCGCAGUUCCUGUGAGCGGUGGUCACCCUGUCCCUCUGCUCCCUCACUGCGAGCAGGUCCUGACUCAACUCACUGUUCUUCUGGACUGCCUGAUCCCUCUCGCGGGUCACGUGGGCCAACUCUGCCUGCAACCUCUCAACCUUAGUGUCAAACUCACGCUGCAGCUAGCGCUUCUCAUCCUAAACUGUGAGAAGAGACCCGGACAAGUGUCCCAAACAACGCUCCAGACCCCCAUAGGUCUUCAUCAAAGCGAACAUAGCACUCAUAGCUGCACUGUCACUGUGCUGAUCCUCAUUGUUGACGGUUCUUAAGUAUUAAUUUUAAUUAUCAAAUAAACAAGAGAAAGGACCAAUAUGCAAACAACACCUAGAAUUAGGGUUUGAUCUGACAGGAUUCCACGAGUUUUGUUGUUUAUCUGUUUCUGUAGGGGGUUAUCAGGAAAUAAGGAAGAAAGGCCCACAUGUCGGGAUUACAUAGAGAUAUCAACGCACCGCGCGAUUUUCCACCAUCUAGAAGACUCUAGAAGCCACGGGAAGAAGACGGAGGCCGAAAGGGGCCAGGCCCAGGGCGCCCGCCCUGGUGACCUGGGCGCCCGCCCCCUGUUGGAUCCAGUUCGGGACUCUCUUCGCUUCGGAUGUUCCACUGACCUAUUGGAUCAAGAAAAACAUAGUACCACCUCGCCUAUCGACCCAAAAACGCAUAGAAGGGGAGGACUAUAUAAGGAGACCCCCUGGCCCCUGGAGAAGACAUGAAGAAAUUAUCAUAGAGAUUGAGGGGUGCCCUCGAAGGAAAACCUCUUCUCUAAUUAAUAUUUCUUUUUAGGCUUAGCAAUCAAUGUAAGGUAGAAAUAGAUCUUCUAGUUUCUACUAGAUUGAGAGAGAUAGAGUGGCGGUGU
RNAcentral lists this long non-coding RNA (16500 nucleotides) under Sorghum bicolor (sorghum). RNAcentral's name for it is "long non-coding RNA (SBIC_LNC012819)". The record is from RNAcentral. Lineage: Eukaryota; Viridiplantae; Streptophyta; Magnoliopsida; Poales; Poaceae.